UAGGAUAGAGGCCUACCAUGGUGGUAACGGGUAACGGGGUGUUAGGGCACGACACCGGAGAGGGAGCCUGAGAAACGGCUACCACAUCCAAGGAUGGCAGCAGGCGCGCAAAUUACCCAAUCCCGACACGGGGAGGUAGUGGCAAUAAAUAACAAUACGGGGUUCUUUCGGAUCUCGUAAUUGGAAUGAGUACAAUUUAAAUCUCUUAACGAGGAACAAUUGGAGGGCAAGUCUGGUGCCAGCAGCCGCGGUAAUUCCAGCUCCAAUAGCGUAUAUUAAAAUUGUUGCAGUUAAAAAGCUCGUAGUUGAAUUUCGGGGUUAGUAGGUUGGUCAUGCCUCUGGUAUGUACUGGUCUCACUGAUUCCUCCUUCCUGAUGAACCGUAAUGCCAUUAAUUUGGUGUUGCGGGGAAUUUGGACUGUUACUUUGAAAAAAUUAGAGUGUUUAAAGCAAGCUAACGCUUGAAUACAUUAGCAUGGAAUAAUGAAAUAGGACGUUCGAUCCUAUUUUGUUGGUUUCUAGGAUUGACGUAAUGAUUAAUAGGGAUAGUUGGGGGCAUUAGUAUUCAAUUGUCAGAGGUGAAAUUCUUGGAUUUAUUGAAGACUAACUACUGCGAAAGCAUUUGCCAAGGAUGUUUUCAUUAAUCAAGAACGAAAGUUAGGGGAUCGAAGACGAUCAGAUACCGUCGUAGUCUUAACCAUAAACUAUGCCGACUAGGGAUCGGAUGA
This 727-nucleotide ribosomal RNA is filed under the name uncultured fungus. RNAcentral's name for it is "SSU rRNA". It matches the Rfam family "Eukaryotic small subunit ribosomal RNA", at positions 329 to 1060 of the family's 1831-position model. Lineage: Eukaryota; Fungi. The record is from RNAcentral.